Molecule: ribosomal RNA, 82 nt
Filed under: Streptococcus pneumoniae GA02254
Lineage: Bacteria; Bacillati; Bacillota; Bacilli; Lactobacillales; Streptococcaceae
Also listed under: 1 other name
Source: RNAcentral
GUGACGAUAGCCUAGGAGAUACACCUGUACCCAUGCCGAACACAGAAGUUAAGCCCUAGAACGCCGGAAGUAGUUGGGGGUU